AAUCAACGCUGGCGGCGUGCCUAACACAUGCAAGUCGCACGAGAAAGGGACUUCGGUCCUGAGUACAGUGGCGCACGGGUGAGUAACACGUGAAUCAUCUACCUUCGAGUGGGGAAUAACUGAGAGAAAUCUUAGCUAAUACCGCAUAAUACCUACGGGUCAAAGCAACAAUGCGCUUGAAGAGGAGUUCGCGGCAGAUUAGUUAGUUGGCAGGGUAAUGGCCUACCAAGACGAUGAUCUGUAUCCGGCCUGAGAGGGCGCACGGACACACUGGGAACUGAAACACGGUCCAGACUCCUACGGGAGGCAGCAGUGGGGAAUUUUUGCGCAAUGGGGAAACCCUGACGCAGCAACGCCGCGUGGAGGAUGAAAUCCCUUGGGUGUAAACUCCUUUCGAUAGGGAAGAUAAUGACGGUACCUAUAGAAGAAGCCCCGG
RNAcentral lists this ribosomal RNA (436 nucleotides) under uncultured bacterium. RNAcentral's name for it is "bacterial SSU rRNA". It matches the Rfam family "Bacterial small subunit ribosomal RNA", at positions 32 to 496 of the family's 1533-position model. The record is from RNAcentral.